AGAGUUUGAUCCUGGCUCAGAAUCAACGCUGGCGGCGUGCCUUAUACAUGCAAGUCGUACGCGAAAGCGGCCUUCGGGCCGCGAGUAGAGUGGCAAACGGGUGAGUACCGCGUGGGUGACCUGCCUUCGAGUGGGGGAUAACCUUCCGAAAGGAGGGCUAAUACCGCAUAACAUCCCGCCCUUGGAUGGGCGGUGAUCAAAGUCGGGGAUCUUCGGACCUGGCGCUUGAAGAGGGAUCCGCGUCCGAUUAGCUUGUUGGUGGGGUAGCGGCCUACCAAGGCGACGAUCGGUAGCCGGCCUGAGAGGGCGGACGGCCACACUGGGACUGAGACACGGCCCAGACUUCUACGGGAGGCAGCAGUAAGGAAUUGUUCGCAAUGGGCGCAAGCCUGACGACGCAACGCCGCGUGGAGGACGAAGAUCUUCGGGUUGUAAACUCCUGUCAAGCGGGAAGAACAGCAUGCGGGUUAAUACCCCGUGCGCCUGACGGUACCGCUGAAGGAAGCCCCGGCUAACUCCGUGCCAGCAGCCGCGGUAAUACGGGGGGGGCAAGCGUUGUUCGGAAUUACUGGGCGUAAAGGGCUCGUAGGCGGCCAGCCAAGUCGGACGUGAAAUCCCCCGGCUCAACC
This 629-nucleotide ribosomal RNA is filed under the name uncultured bacterium. RNAcentral describes it as "bacterial SSU rRNA". It matches the Rfam family "Bacterial small subunit ribosomal RNA", at positions 8 to 614 of the family's 1533-position model. The record is from RNAcentral.